UUUUUUGUUUUUGAGGUAAAUGUUAUUUUUUUUAUAAAGUGGAAACACUUAAAUGAUAAUAAAUAUAAGAUAAAAUUUUAGUGAAUAAAAUUUAAUUUAAUUUAUAAUACAUAGGAUAUAUUAAAUUAAUAAAUUUAAAGUAUUUUUUUAAAGAAAAAUUAGUUUACAAAAUUACAAAUACUUAAAUUAAUGAUAUAAUUUUUAUUAUGAAUUAAGAAUACCCUUUAUGUCAUUUUACAUUUAUCAGCUAGUUGAACCGCUAUUUUUACCAAACACUUCAGUUAGCUUAUCAGCUAAAAGUAUGUUCUAUCAGCUAGCUUAUCAGCUAAAAGCUAUCAGCUAGCUUAUC
This 349-nucleotide long non-coding RNA is filed under the name Medicago truncatula (barrel medic). Its description in RNAcentral is "lncRNA gene39759". The record is from RNAcentral. Lineage: Eukaryota; Viridiplantae; Streptophyta; Magnoliopsida; Fabales; Fabaceae.